GUUCCCGUAGCUCAGCAGGAUAGAGCGUUCGCCUCCUAAGUGAAAGGCCGCUGGUUCGAAUCCAGCCGGGAACACCA
This 77-nucleotide transfer RNA is filed under the name Blastocatellia bacterium. RNAcentral's name for it is "tRNA-Arg". It matches the Rfam family "tRNA". From Rfam's summary of the family: Transfer RNA (tRNA) molecules are approximately 80 nucleotides in length. RNAcentral also lists the same sequence under 2 other names. The record is from RNAcentral. Lineage: Bacteria; Pseudomonadati; Acidobacteriota; Blastocatellia.